This 446-nucleotide ribosomal RNA is filed under the name uncultured bacterium. RNAcentral describes it as "partial 16S ribosomal RNA". It matches the Rfam family "Bacterial small subunit ribosomal RNA", at positions 331 to 792 of the family's 1533-position model. The record is from RNAcentral.
CCAGACUCCUACGGGAGGCAGCAGUGGGGAAUAUUGGGCGAUGGGCGCAAGCCUGACCCAGCAACGCCGCGUGAAGGAAGAAGGCCCUCGGGUUGUAAACUUCUUUUAUCAGGGACGAAACAAAUGACGGUACCUGGGGAGGAAGCUCCGGCUAACUACGUGCCAGCAGCCGCGGUAAUACGUAGGGAGCGAGCGUUGUCCGGAAUUACUGGGUGUAAAGGGAGCGUAGGCGGGACUGCAAGUUGGGUGUCAAAUCUACCGGCUCAACCGGUAGCCGCACUCAAAACUGCAGUUCUUGAGUGAAGUAGAGGCAGGCGGAAUUCCUAGUGUAGCGGUGAAAUGCGUAGAUAUUAGGAGGAACACCAGUGGCGAAGGCGGCCUGCUGGGCUUUUACUGACGCUGAGGCUCGAAAGUGUGGGGAGCAAACAGGAUUAGAUACCCCUGUA